UCCUACGGGACGCAGCAGUGAGGAAUAUUGGUCAAUGGGCGAGAGCCUGAACCAGCCAAGUCGCGUGAGGGAGUACUGCCCUAUGGGUUGUAAACCUCUUUUGUCGGGGAGCAAAAGCCGGACGUGUCCGGCUGUGAGAGUACCCGAAGAAAAAGCACCGGCUAACUCCGUGCCAGCAGCCGCGGUAAUACGGAGGGUGCAAGCGUUACUCGGAAUCACUGGGCGUAAAGAGUGCGUAGGCGGGGUAAUAAGUCAGAUGUGAAAUCCUGUAGCUUAACUACAGAACUGCAUUUGAAACUGUUACU
Molecule: ribosomal RNA, 305 nt
Filed under: uncultured bacterium
Lineage: Bacteria
Description: bacterial SSU rRNA
Rfam family: Bacterial small subunit ribosomal RNA
Source: RNAcentral